UUUGACCCGGAUAGAUUUUUGCCUGAGGAGAUCCAAAAUCGUCAUCCGUAUUCGUAUAUACCAUUCAGUGCUGGACCACGUAAUUGUCUCGGUCAACGAUUUGCUAUGAUGCUAAUAAAAGCAAUAACAGCCCCUCUAAUAAACAAUUUUUAUUUGGAGCCCGUCGAUUAUUUAAAAAAUCUUCAGCUAGAAGUCGGUAUUACACUUCACCCAAGUCAUCCACUUCGUGUGAGAUUUGUACCAAUUUGUAAAUAGAUGAAAGCAUUUAAA
Wasmannia auropunctata (little fire ant) is the source of this 270-nucleotide long non-coding RNA. RefSeq lists it as uncharacterized. Lineage: Eukaryota; Metazoa; Arthropoda; Insecta; Hymenoptera; Formicidae. The transcript has 2 exons. The record is from RefSeq and is a predicted model, not a curated record.